CUAAUCUUGCUUUGUCUCUAAUUAAUUAAAGGGGUGUUUGGGAGGGGGUUAAACUUUAGCCCUCCCAUUCUAACAAGAUUUUAGCCCUUUCUCCAAACACCAGGGCUAAAAUGGAGGGCCUAAACUUUAGCCCCCCAAAAUCUAUUAGCCCCUAAAAUGGACUAAAGGGGGUUAAAAGUGGUCCCCUUAUCCAAUUUUCC
RNAcentral lists this long non-coding RNA (200 nucleotides) under Setaria italica (foxtail millet). Its description in RNAcentral is "long non-coding RNA (SITA_LNC002701)". Lineage: Eukaryota; Viridiplantae; Streptophyta; Magnoliopsida; Poales; Poaceae. The record is from RNAcentral.